CGCCUGCCCUGUGACUAUGGGUUUAACGGCCGCGGUAUUUUGACCGUGCGAAGGUAGCGCAAUCACUUGUCUUUUAAAUGAAGACCUGUAUGAAUGGCAUCACGAGGGCUUAGCUGUCUCCUCUCCCAAGUCAAUGAAAUUGAUCUGUCCGUGCAGAAGCGGGCAUAAGUACAUAAGACGAGAAGACCCUAUGGAGCUUUAGACACCAGGCAGAUCACGUCAAGUAACCUUAAAUUAAUAAGUGGAAACGCAGUGACCCCUAGCCCAUAUGUCUUUGGUUGGGGCGACCGCGGGGGAAAAUAAAGCCCCCAUGUGGACUGGGGGCACUGCCCCCACAGCCGAGAGCUACAGCUCUAAGCACCAGAAUUUCUGACCAAAAAUGAUCCGGCGAACGCCGAUCAACGGACCGAGUUACCCUAGGGAUAACAGCGCAAUCCUCUCCCAGAGUCCCUAUCGACGAGGGGGUUUACGACCUCGAUGUUGGAUCAGGACAUCCUAAUGGUGCAGCCGCUAU
Molecule: ribosomal RNA, 514 nt
Filed under: Salvelinus fontinalis (brook trout)
Lineage: Eukaryota; Metazoa; Chordata; Actinopteri; Salmoniformes; Salmonidae
Description: partial 16S ribosomal RNA
Rfam family: Bacterial large subunit ribosomal RNA
Source: RNAcentral